CCUACGGGUGGCAGCAGUGGGGAAUAUUGCACAAUGGCGGUAACCCUGAUGCAGCGACGCCGCGUGAGUGAAGAAGUAUCUCGGUUCGUAAAGCUCUAUCAGCAGGGAAGAAAAUGACGGUACCUGACUAAGAAGCCCCGGCUAACUACGUGCAAGCAGCCGCGGUACUACGUAGGGGGCAAGCGUUAUCCGGAUUUACUGGGUGUAAAGGGGACGUAGACGGCAGAACAAGUCUGGAGUGAAAGCCCGGGGCUUAACCCUGGAACUGCUUUUGAAACUGUGAGGCUGGAGUGCAUGAGGGGUAGGCGGAAUGCCUAGUGUAGCGGUGAAAUGCAUAGAUAUUAGGAGGAACACCGGUUGCGAAGGCGGCUUACUGGACUGUAACUGACGUUGAGGCUCGAAAGCGUGGGGAGCAAACAGGAUUAGAUACCCCAGUAGUC
RNAcentral lists this ribosomal RNA (440 nucleotides) under uncultured bacterium. RNAcentral's name for it is "partial 16S ribosomal RNA". It matches the Rfam family "Bacterial small subunit ribosomal RNA", at positions 338 to 795 of the family's 1533-position model. The record is from RNAcentral.